This 254-nucleotide ribosomal RNA is filed under the name uncultured bacterium. RNAcentral's name for it is "partial 16S ribosomal RNA". It matches the Rfam family "Bacterial small subunit ribosomal RNA", at positions 524 to 776 of the family's 1533-position model. The record is from RNAcentral.
UACGUAGGGUGCGAGCGUUGUCCGGAAUUAUUGGGCGUAAAGAGCUCGUAGGCGGUGUGUCACGUCGGCCGUGAAAACCUGCAGCUUAACUGUGGGCGUGCGGUCGAUACGGGCAUCACUGGAGUUCGGCAGGGGAGACUGGAAUUCCUGGUGUAGCGGUGAAAUGCGCAGAUAUCAGGAGGAACGCCGGUGGCGAAGGCGGGUCUCUGGGCCGAUAUUGACGCUGAGGAGCGAAAGCGUGGGGAGCAAACAGG